RNAcentral lists this long non-coding RNA (240 nucleotides) under Lathyrus oleraceus (garden pea). RNAcentral describes it as "Pisum sativum (pea) long non-coding RNA (PSAT_LNC009721)". The record is from RNAcentral. Lineage: Eukaryota; Viridiplantae; Streptophyta; Magnoliopsida; Fabales; Fabaceae.
GAGCCUUAAGUGGUAAAGAAGGGAUGAGAAUGGAGCUUUCCUACACUCGUUCUGGACGCUUCAAACACAAGACGUUUGACUUGGUAGUUCGAGGUAUUCACCUUUAUCCAUAGUCUUUAGUGCAAUCUGAAAUCAAUAACACUUUCUCAAAACCUAAAAACAAUUCAAAGCAUUCAAACCUUAUGUUUGAUCCUUAAGGCGACAUAAUAGAAAACCCUUCUUCAAGGUAAUAAAAUCAAC